This is a non-coding RNA of Schistocephalus solidus, 61 nucleotides long. NCBI's taxonomy places the organism in Eukaryota, Metazoa, Platyhelminthes, Cestoda, Diphyllobothriidea, Diphyllobothriidae. The record is from Rfam.
GACCUCGUAGCUCAGUUGGCUAGUGCGUUGGCUGGCAUGGGUUCGAAUCCCACCGAGUUCG